CCGAAAUCGAAAGUGGAAGUGAAAUGUUUGUAUCGUUUUGCUGAAGUAUUCCAUCGGAAAUAACAGACAAACAAGACGAUUAGUUUAUUGAAGAGCUACAUAUUGUCGACGAAUUGUAUUUUGUCCAAAUAGAAAGUUCCCAAAGUGAAAAUCUGAGCAAUGAUGACGGAGUCGGUGUAUGUUAUGUUAAUUAAGUGUUUAACUUAAUUAACUAGUUACAUGUAUCUUCAAGACAUAUCUCUGCCUCGGGUCUUUUCUUAUUCUUCAUGAUUCAAAUAACGUGUUUGCGAGUUAAGCAAUUAACCAGUAAGAUAUUGUCACAUACUAGUAUGGAAGUAAAGAAAAAAAGAACAAAAGAAAAAAAAAGAAGUUCCAUAAGAUUGCAGAAAGUAUGAACAAAUCCACCAGAAAUGGUCAUAAUAUUUCCCUGUUAGUUAAAGAUAUGGAGAAACCGGUCAUAUUUUGUGAUUGGAAGAAAUACUUUCAGCAGUAAUUUAAAACACUUAAGCAUAUUAGCACUUAUCACCACUUCAUAGUUGAUUCAACCAAACCAGGAUAUGUUGUUUUUAAAGAGUCAUGUGACUCUGUACCUAUAACCAUCAAUUGGUUAAAAAAGAACACUAGAAUUUCAAAUUUACUAUGCCAAACACUUUAACAUCAGAAGGAUUAGAUGCAGCCAGACAAUGGUAUAUGUACGAACAAAUCAGGAAAUAUUGUUAUAGCGAGGCUGUUAAAGAUGUCAUUUGUCCAAAGCCAACAAUUGCCAAAAGUGAGGUUGACUUGACCAGUGAUGUGGAUACCAAUAAACACAAAUGUCCAUCAAGGAAGCAGAAUCUACUUAAUUAAAAUACACACAAAUAUA
Long non-coding RNA from Mytilus trossulus (common blue mussel), 862 nucleotides. RefSeq lists it as uncharacterized. NCBI's taxonomy places the organism in Eukaryota, Metazoa, Mollusca, Bivalvia, Mytilida, Mytilidae. The record is from RefSeq and is a predicted model, not a curated record. The transcript is spliced from 2 exons.